AAGUCGAGCGAACAGACGAGGAGCUUGCUCCUUUGACGUUAGCGGCGGACGGGUGAGUAACACGUAGGUAACCUACCUAUAAGACUGGGAUAACUUCGGGAAACCGGAGCUAAUACCGGAUAAUAUUUCGAACCGCAUGGUUCGAUAGUGAAAGAUGGCUUUGCUAUCACUUAUAGAUGGACCUGCGCCGUAUUAGCUAGUUGGUAAGGUAACGGCUUACCAAGGCAACGAUACGUAGCCGACCUGAGAGGGUGAUCGGCCACACUGGAACUGAGACACGGUCCAGACUCCUACGGGAGGCAGCAGUAGGGAAUCUUCCGCAAUGGGCGAAAGCCUGACGGAGCAACGCCGCGUGAGUGAUGAAGGUCUUCGGAUCGUAAAACUCUGUUAUUAGGGAAGAACAAACGUGUAAGUAACUGUGCACGUCUUGACGGUACCUAAUCAGAAAGCCACGGCUAACUACGUGCCAGCAGCCGCGGUAAUACGUAGGUGGCAAGCGUUAUCCGGAAUUAUUGGGCGUAAAGCGCGCGUAGGCGGUUUUUUAAGUCUGAUGUGAAAGCCCACGGCUCAACCGUGGAGGGUCAUUGGAAACUGGAAAACUUGAGUGCAGAAGAGGAAAGUGGAAUUCCAUGUGUAGCGGUGAAAUGCGCAGAGAUAUGGAGGAACACCAGUGGCGAAGGCGACUUUCUGGUCUGUAACUGACGCUGAUGUGCGAAAGCGUGGGGAUCAAACAGGAUUAGAUACCCUGGUAGUCCACGCCGUAAACGAUGAGUGCUAAGUGUUAGGGGGUUUCCGCCCCUUAGUGCUGCAGCUAACGCAUUAAGCACUCCGCCUGGGGAGUACGACCGCAAGGUUGAAACUCAAAGGAAUUGACNGGGACCCGCACAAGCGGUGGACCAUGUGGUUUAAUUC
RNAcentral lists this ribosomal RNA (912 nucleotides) under Staphylococcus hominis. RNAcentral describes it as "bacterial SSU rRNA". It matches the Rfam family "Bacterial small subunit ribosomal RNA", at positions 59 to 952 of the family's 1533-position model. Lineage: Bacteria; Bacillati; Bacillota; Bacilli; Caryophanales; Staphylococcaceae. The record is from RNAcentral.